RNAcentral lists this transfer RNA (79 nucleotides) under Desmophyllum pertusum. RNAcentral's name for it is "tRNA-Ala". It matches the Rfam family "tRNA". From Rfam's summary of the family: Transfer RNA (tRNA) molecules are approximately 80 nucleotides in length. Their secondary structure includes four short double-helical elements and three loops (D, anti-codon, and T loops). The record is from RNAcentral. Lineage: Eukaryota; Metazoa; Cnidaria; Anthozoa; Scleractinia; Caryophylliidae.
UCCUCCAUAGCUCAGUGGUUAGAGCGUCCAACCGGCACCUGGAAGGUCAUGAGUUCGAUUCCCGUUGGGGAGCUCAGAA